AUUGAACGCUGGCGGCAUGAUUUACACAUGCAAGUCGAACGGUAACAGGCCGCAAGGUGCUGACGAGUGGCGAACGGGUGAGUAAUGCAUCGGAACGUGCCCAGUCGUGGGGGAUAACUACUCGAAAGAGUAGCUAAUACCGCAUACGAUCUAUGGAUGAAAGCGGGGGACCGUAAGGCCUCGCGCGAUUGGAGCGGCCGAUGUCAGAUUAGGUAGUUGGUGGGGUAAAGGCUCACCAAGCCAACGAUCUGUAGCUGGCCUGAGAGGACGACCAGCCACACUGGGACUGAGACACGGCCCAGACUCCUACGGGAGGCAGCAGUGGGGAAUUUUGGACAAUGGGCGCAAGCCUGAUCCAGCAAUGCCGCGUGCAGGAAGAAGGCCUUCGGGUUGUAAACUGCUUUUGUACGGAACGAAACGGCUCUGGUUAAUACCCGGGGCUAAUGACGGUACCGUAAGAAUAAGCACCGGCUAACUACGUG
RNAcentral lists this ribosomal RNA (482 nucleotides) under uncultured bacterium. RNAcentral's name for it is "partial 16S ribosomal RNA". It matches the Rfam family "Bacterial small subunit ribosomal RNA", at positions 30 to 507 of the family's 1533-position model. The record is from RNAcentral.